RNAcentral lists this ribosomal RNA (253 nucleotides) under uncultured bacterium. Its description in RNAcentral is "partial 16S ribosomal RNA". It matches the Rfam family "Bacterial small subunit ribosomal RNA", at positions 524 to 776 of the family's 1533-position model. The record is from RNAcentral.
UACAGAGGGGGCAAGCGUUGUUCGGAAUUACUGGGCGUAAAGGGCGCGUAGGCGGCCCGCUAAGUCGAACGUGAAAUCCCCGAGCUCAACUCGGGAACUGCGUCCGAUACUGGUGGGCUUGAAUCCGGGAGAGGGAUGCGGAAUUCCAGGUGUAGCGGUGAAAUGCGUAGAUAUCUGGAGGAACACCGGUGGCGAAGGCGGCAUCCUGGACCGGCAUUGACGCUGAGGCGCGAAAGCUGGGGGAGCAAACGGG